GAUGAACGCUGGCGGCGUGCUUAACACAUGCAAGUCGAACGGAAAGGCCCAAGCUUGCUUGGGUACUCGAGUGGCGAACGGGUGAGUAACACGUGGGUGAUCUGCCCUGCACUUCGGGAUAAGCCUGGGAAACUGGGUCUAAUACCGGAUAGGACGAUGGUUUGGAUGCCAUUGUGGAAAGUUUUUUCGGUGUGGGAUGAGCUCGCGGCCUAUCAGCUUGUUGGUGGGGUAAUGGCCUACCAAGGCGUCGACGGGUAGCCGGCCUGAGAGGGUGUACGGCCACAUUGGGACUGAGAUACGGCCCAGACUCCUACGGGAGGCAGCAGUGGGGAAGAUUGCACAAUGGGCGCAAGCCUGAUGCAGCGACGCCGCGUGGGGGAUGACGGCCUUCGGGUUGUAAACUCCUUUCGCUAGGGACGAAGCGUUUUUGUGACGGUACCUGGAGAAGAAGCACCGGCUAACUACGUG
Molecule: ribosomal RNA, 468 nt
Filed under: uncultured bacterium
Lineage: Bacteria
Description: partial 16S ribosomal RNA
Rfam family: Bacterial small subunit ribosomal RNA
Source: RNAcentral